This 241-nucleotide ribosomal RNA is filed under the name uncultured bacterium. RNAcentral's name for it is "partial 16S ribosomal RNA". It matches the Rfam family "Bacterial small subunit ribosomal RNA", at positions 1251 to 1500 of the family's 1533-position model. The record is from RNAcentral.
UACCGGGUGACCGGAUGCCGAUCUCGAAAACCUGUCCCAGUUCGGACUGGAGUCUGCAACCCGACUCCACGAAGUUGGAUUCGCUAGUAAUCGCGCAUCAGCCAUGGCGCGGUGAAUACGUUCCCGGGCCUUGUACACACCGCCCGUCAAGCCAUGGGAGCCGGGGGCGCCUGAAGUCCGGGACCGCGAGGACCGGCCUAAGGCGAAACUGGUGACUGGGGCUAAGUCGUAACAAGGUACC